CUGCACGAAGCCGGAAUCGCUAGUAAUCGCAGAUCAGAAUGCUGCGGUGAAUACGUUCCCGGGUCUUGUACACACCGCCCGUCACACCAUGGGAGUCGGAAAUGCCCGAAGUCAGUGGCCCAACCGGAAGGAGGGAGCUGCCGAAGGCAGGUCCGGUGACUGGGGUGAAGUCGUAACAAGGUACC
RNAcentral lists this ribosomal RNA (185 nucleotides) under uncultured bacterium. RNAcentral describes it as "partial 16S ribosomal RNA". It matches the Rfam family "Bacterial small subunit ribosomal RNA", at positions 1316 to 1500 of the family's 1533-position model. The record is from RNAcentral.